GACGAACGCUGGCGGCGUGCUUAACACAUGCAAGUCGAACGGAAAGGCCCUGCUUUUGUGGGGUGCUCGAGUGGCGAACGGGUGAGUAACACGUGAGUAACCUGCCCUUGACUUUGGGAUACUUCAGGAAACUGGGGCUAAUACCGGAUAGGAGCUCCUGCUGCAUGGUGGGGGUUGGAAAGUUUCGGCGGUUGGGGAUGGACUCGCGGCUUAUCAGCUUGUUGGUGGGGUAGUGGCUUACCAAGGCUUUGACGGGUAGCCGGCCUGAGAGGGUGACCGGCCACAUUGGGACUGAGAUACGGCCCAGACUCCUACGGGAGGCAGCAGUGGGGAAUAUUGCACAAUGGGCGGAAGCCUGAUGCAGCAACGCCGCGUGCGGGAUGACGGCCUUCGGGUUGUAAACCGCUUUCGCCUGUGACGAAGCGUGAGUGACGGUAGUGGGUAAAGAAGCACCGGCUAACUACGUG
RNAcentral lists this ribosomal RNA (467 nucleotides) under uncultured bacterium. Its description in RNAcentral is "partial 16S ribosomal RNA". It matches the Rfam family "Bacterial small subunit ribosomal RNA", at positions 28 to 507 of the family's 1533-position model. The record is from RNAcentral.